Molecule: ribosomal RNA, 211 nt
Filed under: Lodderomyces parapsilosis
Lineage: Eukaryota; Fungi; Ascomycota; Pichiomycetes; Serinales; Debaryomycetaceae
Description: Candida parapsilosis partial 28S rRNA
Source: RNAcentral
GAUCAGACUUGGUAUUUUGUAUGUUACUCUCUCGGGGGUGGCCUCUACAGUUUACCGGGCCAGCAUCAGUUUGAGCGGUAGGAUAAGUGCAAAGAAAUGUGGCACUGCUUCGGUAGUGUGUUAUAGUCUUUGUCGAUACUGCCAGCUUAGACUGAGGACUGCGGCUUCGGCCUAGGAUGUUGGCAUAAUGAUCUUAAGUCGCCCGUCUUGA